RNAcentral lists this unclassified non-coding RNA (241 nucleotides) under uncultured Helotiales. Its description in RNAcentral is "sequence contains ITS2". The record is from RNAcentral. Lineage: Eukaryota; Fungi; Ascomycota; Leotiomycetes; Helotiales.
AACGCACAUUGCGCCCCUUGGUAUUCCGGGGGGCAUGCCUGUUCGAGCGUCAUUAUAACCACUCAAGCUCUCGCUUGGUAUUGGGGUUCGCGGUCUCGCGGCCCCUAAAAUCAGUGGCGGUGCCUGUCGGCUCUACGCGUAGUAAUACUCCUCGCGAUUGAGUCCGGUAGGUUUACUUGCCAGCAACCCCUAAUUUUUACAGGUUGACCUCGGAUCAGGUAGGGAUACCCGCUGAACUUAA